AACGCAAAUUGCGCUUGAGGCUUCGGCCAAGAGCAUGUCUGGCUCAGCGUCGGCUUACUACCCUCAACCAAUUUCCCUUUGGGUUAUUGAUUGGAGCUGGCUUUCCGGUUUGCCGAAUAGGUUGCCGGUCAGCUGAAAAACAUUCACGCUGUGGAAGCUGCUUUCCCCUAAAAAGGAAAGCCGAGUUCCGAUUUGGUAGGUGACCUUUGCCGGUUGCAUGCCUUCGUUGCUCGCAAUAGCUUUCAUGAUUGCGUGUGCAGGACGCCCUUUGGCUUUCGACCUGAGCUCAGGCAAGAACACCCGCUGAACUUAA
RNAcentral lists this unclassified non-coding RNA (313 nucleotides) under Stictis sp. RNAcentral describes it as "partial contains 5.8S ribosomal RNA, internal transcribed spacer 2, and large subunit ribosomal RNA". RNAcentral also lists the same sequence under 1 other name. Lineage: Eukaryota; Fungi; Ascomycota; Lecanoromycetes; Ostropales; Stictidaceae. The record is from RNAcentral.